UAGGGAAUAUUGGUCAAUGGGCGAGAGCCUGAACCAGCCAUGCCGCGUGCAGGACGACGGUCUUCUGGGUUGUAAACUGCUUUUAUACAGAAAUAAAAAGGGCCUGCGGGCUUCAUUGCAUGUACUGUAUGAAUAAGCACCGGCUAACUCCGUGCCAGCAGCCGCGGUAAUUCGGAGGGUGCAAGCGAUGUCCGGAUUUAUUGGGUUUAAAGGGUGCGUAGGCGGUUAUUUAAGUCAGUGGUGAAAACCCUGAGCUCAACUGAGGGCUUGCCAUUGAUACUGGAUAACUUGAUUACCGUACAGGUAGGCGGAAUUUAUGGUGUAGCGGUGAAAUGCAUAGAUACCAUAAAGAACCCCGAUAGCGAAGGCAGCUUACUAGACUGUAACUGACGCUGAGGCACGAAAGCGUGGGGAGCGAACAGGAUUAGAUACCCCCGUAGUCC
This 443-nucleotide ribosomal RNA is filed under the name uncultured prokaryote. Its description in RNAcentral is "bacterial SSU rRNA". It matches the Rfam family "Bacterial small subunit ribosomal RNA", at positions 355 to 796 of the family's 1533-position model. The record is from RNAcentral.